This is a long non-coding RNA of Sander lucioperca (pikeperch), 98 nucleotides long. RefSeq lists it as uncharacterized. The transcript is spliced from 3 exons. Lineage: Eukaryota; Metazoa; Chordata; Actinopteri; Perciformes; Percidae. The record is from RefSeq and is a predicted model, not a curated record.
GUUCAGUUUAAAUUAUUUAAACACAACGCAGAAAUGUUUCACUUUCACAAUAACGUCUUUAAUUUAACUUCAUUAAAAAAUACUACGUAAAUAGUAGU